Molecule: ribosomal RNA, 432 nt
Filed under: Byrsotria fumigata
Lineage: Eukaryota; Metazoa; Arthropoda; Insecta; Blattodea; Blaberidae
Description: partial 12S ribosomal RNA
Source: RNAcentral
UACUAUGUUACGACUUAUCUCACUUUAUAAUUCAACGAGAGUGACGGGCGAUGUGUGCACAUUUUAGAGCUCAAAUCAUAUCUACAAUCUACAAAAAAUUACUAUUAAAUCCACCUUCAUACAAAUAUAUCAACCCAAUAAUACGUCUACCUUAAAGUAUUGUAAUCCAUCUCCCCUUAAUUAUAAGCUGCACCUUGACCUGAAAUAAGAUAAAAAUAGAUUAGAAGAACAUAACUUCUAAAAAAAUAUUCAAUAAACGGCGGUAUACAUACCUUAUAAACCAAGUAAGGUUCAACGUGGACUAUCGAUUAUGGAACAGAUUCCUCUAAAUAGACUAAAAUGCCGCCAAAUUCUUUAAGUUUCAAGACCUUAACAAUUACUACUCAGGUCACAAAUUUACAUUUAAAAUAAUAGGGUAUCUAAUCCUAGUUU